This 71-nucleotide transfer RNA is filed under the name Lachnospiraceae bacterium. RNAcentral describes it as "tRNA-Gly". It matches the Rfam family "tRNA". From Rfam's summary of the family: Transfer RNA (tRNA) molecules are approximately 80 nucleotides in length. RNAcentral also lists the same sequence under 3 other names. Lineage: Bacteria; Bacillati; Bacillota; Clostridia; Lachnospirales; Lachnospiraceae. The record is from RNAcentral.
GCAGUUGUAGUACAUCGGUAGUAUAUCAGCUUCCCAAGCUGAGGAGGCGGGUUCGACUCCCGUCAACUGCU